RNAcentral lists this ribosomal RNA (431 nucleotides) under uncultured bacterium. Its description in RNAcentral is "partial 16S ribosomal RNA". It matches the Rfam family "Bacterial small subunit ribosomal RNA", at positions 338 to 795 of the family's 1533-position model. The record is from RNAcentral.
CCUACGGGAGGCAGCAGUGGGGAAUCUUGCGCAAUGGCCGAAAGGCUGACGCAGCGACGCCGCGUGCGGGAUGAAGCUUUUCGGAGUGUAAACCGCUGUCGUGCGACCGCCGGUACCACCAAAGGAAGCACCGGCUAACUUCGUGCCAGCAGCCGCGGUAAUACGAAGGGUGCAAGCGUUGUUCGGAAUUAUUGGGCGUAAAGCGCACGUAGGCGGCUUUGUAAGUCUCCUGUGAAAGUCCGGGGCUCAACCCCGGGAUGCCAGGGGAUACUGCGAGGCUUGAGACAAGUAGAGGUUGGUAGAAUUCCGGGUGUAGCGGUGGAAUGCGUAGAGAUCCGGAGGAAUACCAGAGGCGAAGGCGGCCAACUGGCUGUUCUGACGCUGAGGUGCGAAAGCGUGGGGAGCGAACAGGAUUAGAUACCCUAGUAGUC